RNAcentral lists this ribosomal RNA (995 nucleotides) under uncultured bacterium. Its description in RNAcentral is "bacterial SSU rRNA". It matches the Rfam family "Bacterial small subunit ribosomal RNA", at positions 356 to 1376 of the family's 1533-position model. The record is from RNAcentral.
GGGGAAUAUUGCACAAUGGGGGAAACCCUGAUGCAGCGACGCCGCGUGGAGGAAGAAGGUCUUCGGAUUGUAAACUCCUGUUGUUGAGGAAGAUAAUGACGGUACUCAACAAGGAAGUGACGGCUAACUACGUGCCAGCAGCCGCGGUAAAACGUAGGUCACAAGCGUUGUCCGGAAUUACUGGGUGUAAAGGGAGCGCAGGCGGGAAGACAAGUUGGAAGUGAAAUCCAUGGGCUCAACCCAUGAACUGCUUUCAAAACUGUUUUUCUUGAGUAGUGCAGAGGUAGGCGGAAUUCCCGGUGUAGCGGUGGAAUGCGUAGAUAUCGGGAGGAACACCAGUGGCGAAGGCGGCCUACUGGGCACCAACUGACGCUGAGGCUCGAAAGUGUGGGUAGCAAACAGGAUUAGAUACCCUGGUAGUCCACACCGUAAACGAUGAUUACUAGGUGUUGGAGGAUUGACCCCUUCAGUGCCGCAGUUAACACAAUAAGUAAUCCACCUGGGGAGUACGACCGCAAGGUUGAAACUCAAAGGAAUUGACGGGGGCCCGCACAAGCAGUGGAGUAUGUGGUUUAAUUCGACGCAACGCGAAGAACCUUACCAAGUCUUGACAUCCUGCGACGGUGCUGGAAACAGUAUUUUCCUUCGGGACGCAGAGACAGGUGGUGCAUGGUUGUCGUCAGCUCGUGUCGUGAGAUGUUGGGUUAAGUCCCGCAACGAGCGCAACCCUUAUGGUCAGUUACUACGCAAGAGGACUCUGGCCAGACUGCCGUUGACAAAACGGAGGAAGGUGGGGAUGACGUCAAAUCAUCAUGCCCUUUAUGACUUGGGCUACACACGUACUACAAUGGCGUUAAACAAAGAGAAGCAAGACCGCGAGGUGGAGCAAAACUCAGAAACAACGUCCCAGUUCGGACUGCAGGCUGCAACUCGCCUGCACGAAGUCGGAAUUGCUAGUAAUCGUGGAUCAGCAUGCCACGGUGAAUACGUUCCCG